UGGCUCAGACGGUAAAGCGUCUGCCUGCAAUGCAGAAGACCCGGGUUCGAUUCCUGG
This 57-nucleotide transfer RNA is filed under the name Bos taurus (domestic cattle). It matches the Rfam family "tRNA", at positions 8 to 63 of the family's 71-position model. Rfam says of the family: Transfer RNA (tRNA) molecules are approximately 80 nucleotides in length. Their secondary structure includes four short double-helical elements and three loops (D, anti-codon, and T loops). Lineage: Eukaryota; Metazoa; Chordata; Mammalia; Artiodactyla; Bovidae. The record is from Rfam by way of RNAcentral. RNAcentral also lists the same sequence under 2 other names.